Non-coding RNA from Macaca mulatta (Rhesus monkey), 533 nucleotides. The record is from RefSeq and is a predicted model, not a curated record. Lineage: Eukaryota; Metazoa; Chordata; Mammalia; Primates; Cercopithecidae.
UUACGAUGUUCCUGGAAAGCCACUUUCCUGAGAAGAACUGCAACAGAUUUUCAUGAUAUCAAGAAGGCUUUAUGUUCUUGUGAGAAAGUUUGGCUCAAUGUUGUCUUCUGUUUCCUCUUCAUAAACCCGCUUGGAGGAGAGUUUCCAAUUUAUGCCAAGACUGCAAAUUAGCACAAGCUGCUGCUGCUCUCCAGCAAAUCAACCCGAGGGAAACUGUGGGGGAGAAGGAAAACUCGAUGCAGACUCAUAAAAAGAACAUAUUGAUGCUCUGAAAGACAACCCCAGAAGAGUAUGAGGAGACAUACACAGUCUACGCAGGCCUGUAAGCUGAAUAAAACUGCUGAAGCUUCAGUCUCUUUACUACAGAAAUAGGCUUUGGUAUCUGAUGCUGUCAUCAGGAACUAUGGAUCUUGUGUGAGUGAUUUUUUUUUUUUUUUGCUGUAAGAACCAAGGAGUAUUCGUUGCCUAUUGCUGUGUAACAAAUUGUCCCUGAACUUAGCAACUUAAAAUAAUAAACAGCUAUUGUUUCAUGA